This is a non-coding RNA of Meleagris gallopavo (turkey), 1200 nucleotides long. NCBI's taxonomy places the organism in Eukaryota, Metazoa, Chordata, Aves, Galliformes, Phasianidae. The record is from RefSeq and is a predicted model, not a curated record.
CAGCAGUGGCAACGUUAGGUUCUGUGGAACACUGACCAUCUCUGGAACAGAGAAGAACAAACCAUAUCAGACACGGAAAUGCGACAGAAGUGUUCAGAGAAACAUUCCUCCCCCUUAAGUCCCAUGGAGAUCAGAGCUGCUAAGAGCACCUGAUGAAGUGACCAAAGGAAUUAUGCGACUGACCCAUUCUUUGUAUUCCAGAAUUCAUCUUCUGAUCCAGUAGGCAAAGCACACAGAAAGCAAAUUUGCCCAAAAUAGCUUUCCUUGGAGAGAGAGAGGGAGAUUUUUAUCCUGUCUUUGAGGCAAGAUUUUGCAGUUAUUCUUGGUUUCUGCUCCACUGCAUUUUCCGCAGAGGAGGAGGAAGGGCUGAGCAAUGUUAUGUUCUGCAUGGAUGCAUGCACACAAUCACAUACAUACUCAUGUUUUGCUUGUGUACUGUUUCUUUCUAUUUCACUGUUUUACUGCUUUCUGUAGCCUUUUAAAAUAUAUGAUACACAGCUGUCAAAACAGCAGCUCAUCUCCUUCCACAGGCAAAUGGCAGAGGGCAGAGUUAAAAAGCUAAACCAAACAGCAUCAAAUUCAUGCUCAGUAUUCCACUCACCUUGUCCUUCAUGCAAAGCUUUGCUGAAUGGCUUCAGCUGUUUUUCAUACAUGAUGGCAGUCUGGGUGUAAUGAUGUCUUAAAGAGGUCCACGUUUGUUCUAACCUGGUGACCUGUUCAGAUGAAAUGAGAGGAAUAUACACAUUUCUUACUCUAGUAAGUCACAGGAAAAACAUGCUGCUACUGCAUAAAUUACUUUAAAUGAUCCAACUAACAAUUCUACUUUUUGGAAUGUAAAGAGAAAAUUGAUGGGUUUUUUGUUUGUAUGUUUUUUUACCUGUGGCAUUUCCAGUGCUUUCAUAAUGGCAGAAAAUGCAUACAAAUCCCCCAGUGAGUCCUUCAGCUCCACUGCAACUUGGAUGAUCUUGUUUAAUGUUGCAGCUCUGUCUUCCAGGUUUCCUGUGCAACCUAAGAUAUCCACAGCUAUUCCUAUUGCCAUGGUAUUGUGCCUGCAAGUGAAACAAUUUAUAUUAGUGGUUACUAAUUAUUAAUACAUUAUGAUGUACAUAAGUUCAGAGAAGAUCAACUCAGUUAUAUUUCAGCAUCUGCUUAUCAAGAGCUGCAAUACCAUUAUAUAGAAUAAAUGUCUUUUUGAGUUUA